GGAUUGAGGGCUGAAACUCGCCCUCAUGAAGCUGGAAUUGCUAGUAAUCGCCAAUCAGCUACGUGGCGAUGAAUACGUUCCUGAGUCUUGUACUC
RNAcentral lists this ribosomal RNA (95 nucleotides) under Candidatus Staskawiczbacteria bacterium RIFCSPHIGHO2_01_FULL_39_25. RNAcentral's name for it is "partial 16S ribosomal RNA". It matches the Rfam family "Bacterial small subunit ribosomal RNA", at positions 1295 to 1388 of the family's 1533-position model. Lineage: Bacteria; Candidatus Staskawicziibacteriota. The record is from RNAcentral.